This 421-nucleotide ribosomal RNA is filed under the name uncultured bacterium. Its description in RNAcentral is "partial 16S ribosomal RNA". It matches the Rfam family "Bacterial small subunit ribosomal RNA", at positions 360 to 773 of the family's 1533-position model. The record is from RNAcentral.
AAUAUUGGACAAUGGGGGCAACACUGAUCCAGCCAUGCCGCGUGUGUGAAGAAGGUCUUCGGAUUGUAAAGCACUUUAAGAUGGGAGGAAGGGCUUUAGGUUAAUACCAUGUAGUUUUGACGUUAUCAACAGAAUAAGCACCGGCUAACACUGUGCCGGCAGCCGCGGUAAUACAGAGGGUGCAAGCGUUAAUCGGAAUGAUGGGGCGUAAAGCACGCGUAGUUGGUUCAGUAAGAUGGUUGUGAAAUCCCCGGGCUUAACCUGGGAACUGCUUUCAUAACUGCUGAGCUAGAGUACGGUAGAGGGUAGUGGAAUUUCCUGUGUAGCGGGGAAAUGCGUAGAUAUAGGAAGGAACACCAGUGGCGAAGGCGACUACCUGGACUGAUACUGACACUGAGGUGCGAAAGCGUGGGGAGCAAAC